UACCAGCACCCCGAGUGGUCGGGACGUUUAUUGGGCCUAAAGCAUCCGUAGCCGGUUCUGCAAGUCCUCCGUUAAAUCCACCUGCUUAACGGAUGGGCUGCGGGGGAUACCGCAGAGCUAGGAGGCGGGAGAGGCAAACGGUACUCAGUGGGUAGGGGUAAAAUCCAUUGAUCUACUGAAGACCACCAGUGGCGAAGGCGGUUUGCCAGAACGCGCUCGACGGUGAGGGAUGAAAGCUGGGGGAGCAAACCGG
This 253-nucleotide ribosomal RNA is filed under the name uncultured bacterium. RNAcentral's name for it is "partial 16S ribosomal RNA". It matches the Rfam family "Archaeal small subunit ribosomal RNA", at positions 474 to 727 of the family's 1478-position model. The record is from RNAcentral.